UGGGGCAGGUGAUGGGCACUGGGUGUUCCCUGGAGGGGCAGCAGGGGGCUGUGGGGUGGGGCAGAGGCUGGGACUGGCCUCCAGCUUUGUAUCUGCACAGGGCUUUCACCGAUACUCCACAGACCGCCAGUGGCACGUCCCUCACUUUGAGAAGAUGCUCUAUGACCAGGCACAGCUCGCUGUGGCCUAUUCGCAGGCCUUCCAGAUCUCUGGCGAUGAAUUCUACUCUGAUAUGGCCAAAGGCAUCCUGCAGUACGUGGCUCGGAGCCUGAGCCACCGGUCUGGAGGCUUCUAUAGCGCUGAGGAUGCAGACUCGCCCCCAGAGCGGGGCAUGCGGCCCAAAGAGGGCGCCUACUAUGUGUGGACGGUCAAAGAGGUUCAGCAGCUCCUCCCGGAGCCUGUGCUGGGUGCCACCGAGCCGCUGACCUCAGGCCAGCUCCUGAUGAAGCACUACGGCCUCACGGAGGCUGGUAACAUCAGCCCCAGUCAGGACCCCAAGGGGGAGCUGCAGGGCCAGAAUGUGCUGACCGUCCGGUACUCGCUGGAGCUGACUGCUGCCCGCUUUGGCUUGGAUGUGGAGGCCGUGCGGACCUUGCUUAAUACAGGGCUGGAGAAGCUCUUCCAGGCCCGGAAGCAUCGGCCCAAGCCACACCUGGACAGCAAGAUGCUGGCUGCCUGGAAUGGUGGGGCAGCAUCUCUGAGACCGAGCCUGUCUGUAGGAUCCCCCUUCACAAAGCCUCUGUCUGUCCGGCACCUGCUAAAUGCUCACUCUCCCUUUAUUAGCGUUAUUAUUCUCAGUUGACAAAAGAGGCUUAAGGAGCUUGAGUAACCUGCCCAAGGUCACACACAAGGGCUGGGAACCCCGCCGUGUCUGGCU
Molecule: small RNA, 877 nt
Filed under: Pongo abelii (Sumatran orangutan)
Lineage: Eukaryota; Metazoa; Chordata; Mammalia; Primates; Hominidae
Description: retained intron
Source: RNAcentral